RNAcentral lists this ribosomal RNA (253 nucleotides) under uncultured bacterium. Its description in RNAcentral is "partial 16S ribosomal RNA". It matches the Rfam family "Bacterial small subunit ribosomal RNA", at positions 524 to 776 of the family's 1533-position model. The record is from RNAcentral.
UACGAAGGGGGCUAGCGUUGUUCGGAAUCACUGGGCGUAAAGGGCGCGUAGGCGGCUUUAUAAGUCGGGGGUGAAAGCCUGUGGCUCAACCACAGAAUUGCCUUCGAUACUGUAUGGCUAGAGACCGGAAGAGGUAAGUGGAACUGCGAGUGUAGAGGUGAAAUUCGUAGAUAUUCGCAAGAACACCAGUGGCGAAGGCGGCUUACUGGUCCGGUUCUGACGCUGAGGCGCGAAAGCGCGGGGAGCAAACAGG